Molecule: transfer RNA, 73 nt
Filed under: Neotoma lepida (desert woodrat)
Lineage: Eukaryota; Metazoa; Chordata; Mammalia; Rodentia; Cricetidae
Rfam family: tRNA
About the family: Transfer RNA (tRNA) molecules are approximately 80 nucleotides in length.
Source: Rfam by way of RNAcentral
GGGUAGUUGGCUUACUGGGUAAGAGCACUUGUUAUACAAACAUGAGGACUUGAGUUCAAAUCCUUAGUACCCA